This 75-nucleotide transfer RNA is filed under the name Thermoprotei archaeon. RNAcentral's name for it is "tRNA-Ala". It matches the Rfam family "tRNA". Rfam says of the family: Transfer RNA (tRNA) molecules are approximately 80 nucleotides in length. Their secondary structure includes four short double-helical elements and three loops (D, anti-codon, and T loops). Lineage: Archaea; Thermoproteati; Thermoproteota; Thermoprotei. The record is from RNAcentral.
GGGCCCGUGGUCUAGUGGUAGGACGCCCGCCUUGCAAGCGGGAGGUCCCGGGUUCAAUUCCCGGCGGGUCCACCA